Molecule: ribosomal RNA, 266 nt
Filed under: Glaesserella parasuis
Lineage: Bacteria; Pseudomonadati; Pseudomonadota; Gammaproteobacteria; Pasteurellales; Pasteurellaceae
Description: partial 23S ribosomal RNA
Rfam family: Bacterial large subunit ribosomal RNA
Source: RNAcentral
AUGUCUGUUUAAGUUGGUAGGUGGGGAGCUUAGGCAAAUCCGGGCUCCUAUUAACACUGAGAGAUGAUGACGAGUUUCUACGGAAAUGAAGUAACUGAUACCACGCUUCCAGGAAAAGCCACUAAGCUUCAGAUGAAGAUAAACCGUACUGAAAACCGACACAGGUGGUCAGGUAGAGAAUACUCAGGCGCUUGAGAGAACUCGGGUGAAGGAACUAGGCAAAAUAGCACCGUAACUUCGGGAGAAGGUGCGCUGGCGUAGGUUGU